CAGCAGCCGCGGGAAUACGUAGGGUGCAAGCGUUAAUCGGAAUUACUGGGCGUAAAGCGUGCGCAGGCGGUUGUGUAAGACAGGUGUGAAAUCCCCGGGCUUAACCUGGGAACUGCGCUUGUGACUGCACAGCUAGAGUAUGGCAGAGGGGGGUGGAAUUCCACGUGUAGCAGUGAAAUGCGUAGAGAUGUGGAGGAACACCGAUGGCGAAGGCAGCCCCCUGGGCCAAUACUGACGCUCAUGCACGAAAGCGUGGGGGGCAAACAGGAUUAGAUACCCCCGUAGUCCCUGUCUCUUAUAC
RNAcentral lists this ribosomal RNA (301 nucleotides) under uncultured bacterium. Its description in RNAcentral is "partial 16S ribosomal RNA". It matches the Rfam family "Bacterial small subunit ribosomal RNA", at positions 509 to 807 of the family's 1533-position model. The record is from RNAcentral.